CAAUAGCGUAUAUUAAAGUUGUUGCGGUAAAAAAGCUCGUAGUUGGAUUUCUACCGAAGAUAGCCGGUCGGGUCUUCGACCUUGUAUCUGGUUUUGUCUUUGGUAUCCUCAUAGGGAACGUUUCUGCGCUUUAUUGCGUGGUGCGGUAUCUAUGACUUUUACUUUGAGGAAAUUAGAGUGUUCACGGCAGGCAAACGCCUUGAAUAUAUUAGCAUUGAAUAAUAACAUAGGAUCUUCGUCCUAUUUUGUUGGUUUCUAGGGCUAAGAUAAUGAUUAAUAGGGAUAAUUGGGGGCAUCUGUAUCAACGCGUCAGAGGUGGAAUUCUUGGAUUGCGUUGCGACAAACUACUGCGAAAGCAUUUGCCAAGGAUGUUUUCAUUGA
This 381-nucleotide ribosomal RNA is filed under the name uncultured eukaryote. Its description in RNAcentral is "partial 18S ribosomal RNA". It matches the Rfam family "Eukaryotic small subunit ribosomal RNA", at positions 592 to 976 of the family's 1831-position model. The record is from RNAcentral.